RNAcentral lists this ribosomal RNA (1128 nucleotides) under Cryptopygus antarcticus travei. Its description in RNAcentral is "16S ribosomal RNA". The stretch from base 921 to 1079 matches the Rfam family "Archaeal large subunit ribosomal RNA", at positions 2544 to 2703 of the family's 2987-position model. Lineage: Eukaryota; Metazoa; Arthropoda; Collembola; Entomobryomorpha; Isotomidae. The record is from RNAcentral.
CCGUGAGGGGUUCAUUAAAUUAUUUAUUUUUAUGGGUGAGAGUCAUGAUUAGUACCUUUUGUAUUAGUGAGAUUUAAUUUAAUUAUUUAUUUAUUUGGUCCCGAAAUUAUGAGGGCUAAAAAAAUUAUAGGGAUUGUUGAAAUAAUUUUAUAAAAAAUUUUUUUAGGGGUGAAAUGCCAUUCGUUCAUUAAAAUAUCUGGUUUAAUUUUUUAAGUUUAGCUUUGUUUAUUUAUGUUAUAAGUGUAUUAUUACUUUUUUAUAUGAAUAAAUUAUUGUCAAAGGGGUUAGCUUUUGUUUUUAUCUUUUUUAAAACAUUUAAUUUAUUUAUUAAAAAAGCAGGCUUGAAAACAGCUUUCGUAUGGUAAGUUAUAUUUACUAAAGAUUUAUUUGUAUAAUUUAUUUUGUGUUUAAUUUUUUAAUUAAAUGAUUUUUAUUCGGUUUAAGUCAAAAAUACUAAUUCUAUGAGUAAGUUAUUUAUGUUAAAAAAAAAUUAAAAAAAAAUUAYUACUAAAAAAUUCGACAAGAUAAAUUUCGACUGUUUAACAAAAACAUUUUUUUACGGUUGUUUGUAAAGUAUAACCUGCCCACUGAGUAUAUUAAAGGGCCGCGGUAUUUUGACCGUGCAAAGGUAGCAUAAUCAUUAGUCUCUUAAUUAGGGAAUUGUAUGAAUGGUAUUACGUAGUUUAUUUUUUUUAGUGGUAUAGUCUUAAUUUGAAUUUAAAGUGAAAAUGCUUUAAUAUAAUUAUAGACGAUAAGACCCUAUAGAGUUUUAUUUAUUUACAUUAAAUAAAAAUGUUACAUGUUAUUUAAAUAAAAAUAAAUUUUAUUGGGGCAAUAAAAGAAUAAAAUUAACUUCUUAUAAAAUAGUUUGACAUAAUGUAAUAACUUGAUUUUUAAAUUUGGUAAGAAAUUACCUUAGGGAUAACAGCGUUAUUAAAAUUAAGAGUUCUUAUCGACAUUUUAGAUUGCGACCUCGAUGUUGAAUUAAAAAUUCUUUAGGGGGUAGAUUUUCUAUGGGAUAGUCUGUUCGACUAUAAAAUUUUUACAUGAUUUGAGUUCAAAUCGGCGUGAGCCAGGUUGGUUUCUAUCUUAAUUAAAUUUAAAAUUUGUUUAGUACGAAAGGACCGA